Molecule: long non-coding RNA, 3501 nt
Filed under: Gossypium barbadense (sea-island cotton)
Lineage: Eukaryota; Viridiplantae; Streptophyta; Magnoliopsida; Malvales; Malvaceae
Description: long non-coding RNA (GBAR_LNC020505)
Source: RNAcentral
UUCAAGACCAUUUCUUCUUGAAAUUUCGGUGGGAGACAGCCAUGGAAGAGGGUUUGGAGCUGGUAUUCCAUAUUUUGGCUUCAAGUAAGUUUAAUUCUUGCUUUGUCCUUGAAAUUUUUAUAUUUUUAGACUUUUACAAUUAGGUCCAACUUAGUAUUCUACUAGUUUCUCAUUUUGUUGAAAGUUUUGGAAGAUACUAAUGAUAAGUUCAUAUGAUUGUUGUUAUUUUUUGAUGAAAUUGAGAUGUUAAUGGAUGUUUAAAGGUGUUUUAUUAAAGAAUUUUAGAUGAAAACAUGUUUUAGGGAUUAAAUUGAAAAAUAUUGAAAUCAUGGAGAAAUUCUAAAAUUUUAUGGAAUCUAUGGGCUGUUAUUGAUAUGUAUGAGAAAUAAUAGGCUUGAAUGAAGGAUUAUAUUGCAAGAAUUUCAUUUUCCAAGCCUAGGGACGAAAUUAUCAUGUAUUAAAAGUUUAGAGUCAAAUUGGUAAUCAAUAUAUUACACUAAACAGUUUUGGGCAGCAGCAGUGGUCUGACUUUGAAAAAUCACCAAAAAUUGUGGGAAUUGAAUUAGAGGGUGAAUAAAAUAUGAAAUUAAAGCUUAUUGAGUCUAGUUUCUCAUAGAAGAAACGGUGUAAGUAAUGAAAUUGUAAAUCAUGAGAUAUAAUAGAUUUUGUGAGACAAUGUCAGAAUGAAUUCGGGUUCCCCUGUUCUGAAUUUGGAAAAUCAUUAAAAAUUGUAAAAAAAUGAUUAUGAGUUAUAAUUUAUAUGAUUAGAAUCCUUAAUGAGUCUAUUUUCAGAAGAAACCAAUAUAAAUACCAUCCAAAUUCUGUACAAUGAGAUAAUUAAUUUUUAGUGAAGAGUGGUCGGAACUGUCAGACAGCAAAACAGGGGAAACUUUAAAGAAUAAACAGCUUUGAAUAUACAUGUGAGUGAAUAGUGAAAUUAUAGCUAAUGUUGUUUAAGUGUGUUAUACACAUUAAGGAUGUGGAAUGGAGAGGAGGAGGAGGAAAAUUGGGAAGUAUAUGAAUGAUUUGUGUAUAAUUGGUCAUAUGCUUGAUUAUAAUUGAUAAACGGUGAAAUAGAAAUAAUGCUUAUAUUUGUGCAUUAUUGGUUUUGGUUUAAGCUCAUGUGUGAAAAUAAAGUUUCAUAGUACGUGUGUAUCGUAUAUUCGGUAUAUGAUUUGGCAUGAAAUAAUUUCAUGAAUGGUUUAUCAUGUGGUUAGUUCCAAAAAGGGUUAUGUUUAAAUAUACUAGCUUGUGACUAUGGUUGAAUGAUAUGUUUAUAUCUUGUGUGAUGUGCAUAGGAAACAAGUGUGGUAAGAUAAUGAAAUAGUAAGUUCAUAUGACCGAAAUUUAAUGAUUAAAUGUUAAUUUCAUGAGUUAUGUAAUGUAUGAUGAGAUAUAUUUAUUGAUGAAAUGAGAAUAAAAUAAAAAUGCAAAAAUUGAAUAAAUGAUCAAAUUGAGCGGAACGCCGGAUUUGAGUACUUAUGAUCAAGUGACAAAGUGAUAGGUGAUAGCUUCGGCUACACUUAUCUGAUCAAGUGACAAGUGGAAAGUGAUAAGUGAUAGCUUCGACUACACUUAUCUGAUCAAGUGACAAGUGGAAAGUGAUAAGUGAUAGCUUCUGCUAUACUUAUCUGAUCAAGAGACAAUGUGAUAAGUGAUAGUUUCGGCUACACUUAUCUGAUCAAGUGACAAGUGAAAAGUGAUAAGUGAUAGCUUUAGCUACACUUAUCUGAUCAAGAGACAAAGUGAUAAGUGGCUACACUUAUCUGAUCAAGAAACAAAGUGAUAAGUGGCUACACUUAUCUGAUCAGGGACAAGUGAUAAGUGAUCAUACGUAAGACCAUAGUUAUACUAUGGCAAAGUGAAAGUGAAGUACUCAAUUUUCCGUAACCGUUCCCUAAUUUGAUUAAGGAUGGUAAGUGACAAAUGGGCCCAAAUGAAUUAAAGUAAAUGAAUAAGUGGUAGUGUAUUUAUACCAGGAUGAUGUUGUUAUUUAAGCUAAAGUGAUAUUUUCAUUGCAAAAUUAAGAAUUUCAUAAAUGUGUUAUUGAACGAUAUAAUCGAUAAACGUUGAGUUAAAUGGUAAAUACGUAUUAGUGUUAAACUUAGUGACAUUGAAUUGUACGUGAAUUAAAUGGAAAUUGCUAGUGAUAUGAUCUAAAUUGUGAGCAUGAGAAAUUGCGAAUUAAAUGAAAUGGAAAUGAAGCAUUGAAUUGUAUGAGUAUAUACCGGGUCUCGUAGGCCCUAAUUAUUAUGAUUAUAAUAUUUUGAGGAUAUAUUGUGAAAAGUUAUAGAAGCAUUCUAAUUAUUUUGAAAGUUUUAAUUUAGUUGAAAUUUUAUAACUCGGUUAAAUACGUUUACAAGUGUAUGUGUUUUGGUAAUGCCUCGUACCCUAUUCCGCUCGUACCCUAUUCCGGUGUUGGAUACGGGUAAGGGGUGUUACAUAGCAAUUUUCUUUCGGGCCGGGAUUGGACAAAUUUUUAGGCCCAUGUUUCGGGCUGGGCUGGGCCUGGGCCUAAAAAACGGGCCUAAAUUUUUAUCUGGGCCCGGCCCGGCCCAUGAUCACCUCUACUUCUAUCCAUAAGGCUUGCUAAGAUAAUCAACAAUAAAUUAUUAGUACUUUAUAUAAUAACAUAAAAUUACAUAAUUUAUUCUUUUGAUGGUGUAAAAGUUUUAUUACACACAAAUUUAUUAUUAUUUACUAAUGGUAUUUUUAUAGAAGAAUUUUCUACAGAUAAACUGAUUGACUUUUUAUCAAUAGAGAAUGGUAAAUACUGACAUGUAAAAUUAUUUCCUAAUAAUAUGUCUCCAUGCAUUUCAGGAAAACAUAAAAUUUUAGGAAUCAUAAAUCUUAUAUUUUUUUAUGUAGAUUGAUAUAUUUCUAGCUUUAUAAUUAAUUAUGGUUUUAUUAUCAUCCAUUCCUAUUACUUUUAUAGGAUUUUUAAUAGUUUCCCAUUUUUCUACAGGAAUGACAUUUUUUCUGCAACUACUGGUUGUAGCUCCAGUAUCUAAUAAAGCAUGUAAAGAAUAUUUUUUAUAUUCUCUAAAUUGAAAUGCAAUUUCAAUAUAUGUAUCAUAUUUCCUAGAUUGGAAAUUAUUUAUUUCAACUUUCAUUUGUUUACUAAUCGUUGAAUUUUGUAUUUCUUCCGUUCUAGAGUUUCUAGAAUUUCUACUUGGUUAUGUAGGGAAAAUAGGAAUAUGAAUUGUUUUUACUCCUAUUGGUGUAGAAUUAUUACUAAUAUUAUCCUCUUCUUCUUCUACUGAAUUAUUAGAGGGUAAAAUUAAGUUUUCAUUUGUAUUAGUUAUAGCAAGGUUUUUAAAGUAUAACUUAUUCCCCGAUGACAUAUAUUCUAUGGUACUUACUGGUUUAGAAGUACUUGCACUACUUAUCUUUUCUAUCAUCCAAUCUUUUGGAAUUGAUAGAUCUCUUAAAUGUAAUAAUUUUGGUUGUAUUUCUGUAGUAAAUUUAUUAGGUUCAAAGAGCUUAAUAAUUUUGUUGUUU